UAAAUAAAUAUAUAUAAACAUAUAUAUUUUAGAGAGGCACUACCAGGACUUCCAUUUCAUCUAGAAGUUCCAGGGAGUAAAUGGAAGUGGCCCUGGGCUUGAUUGAAUAGUGACUGCAGAGCAGGGUUGAGGGUGAGGGGCCCGACGGGGCCUCCCCUUCAGCACCAGGGACAGCGGCUGCCUCACGACUGGCUCCUCUGUGUAGGGGUCUUCAUCAGGACACAGUGCAAGGACUGAGUGCUUUUCAGGAGGCCACAGAUCCAGGACCUGGGAGGAUCACAGGCUGUAAAAUAACAACUGACACUGAAAAAUGAGGUGAAAAAAAAUACAUAGUGUAAGUGGAAAAUCACAGUCGUUUUACUUUGCCUGUAGCAGUCUCCAUUCAAGUGCUUUUCAUAUUCCAGAACAAUGCCUAUCCAUAGGGGAAAAUCCUAUAAGGAAAUGGAAGGAAUAAAAUCACCUACAAUCCACACAUGUCUUAAUAAUCACUGCUUAUAUUCUCACACAUACUUCAAGUUUCUAACUAUCUGAAAUGUUUCACAGGUGAAAAUUAUAUUUAAGUCUCACAUUACAUUUUCAUGUCAGAACAAAAUGGCUUCAGAUAUCACUGUCAAUUAAAAGUCCAGUUACUCUUCAUCCAUUAGCUUUUGGGCUAAAUAUUUAAUUUUUAUAGAAACAGGUGAGAAUAUUUUCAUGUAAGAUAUGGGUGUGGUUGGACAUCUUCCACAGAACAACUGUGGCCUGGUAACUCCACCGACACUGAAGUUUUGUUCCUGUUCACAGAAGUAGACACUGUUGGGGGGGGGACAAGGUGAUGCUGCAGCUCCCCCAGCUGAACGCCCAAUUCACCUUCACUUCAUUCUUAAGGAUGAUAGAGAACAAAUCACUUGCUCAAGGUUAUUCGGUGUGCAGCGAGGUGAAUUUGGUCAGGUUCCUACAGAGAUCACACCUCAACCUACAAGUGAAGACAUUUUCAAAGUGGGUCUCAGCUCCAGGCAUAUUAGAUACCCAUGGAACCAUUCCAGAAUUAGUAGGUGAGACUCUGACAGAUGGGGCCUCAAAUUAUCAAUGUAAUAGUUUUUAUAAAAAUUUAUUUUUUGCCUCACAUGUGCUAGGCGAGUGCUCUACCACUUAGCCACCACCCUGGACCUCAAAGUAAUACUUUUGACAGGAAACAUUCACUCUUGUAAGAAAUAAAAUGCACAGUGUGAAAUAUUGGUUCUUCAUCUGCCUGUCUCUUCAUUUAUGUAAUAUAUUUUUAAAAAAUUGCCUGCCAGUUUAUUUAUUCAUCAAUUCAAGUAUGCUUGUUUUAAUUUCUUUUUUAUUGAUUCUUUUUAGUUAUAUAUCAUGUUAAUAUUCAUUUGGACAUAAUUACUAAAGCAUGGAAUAGAAUUUUCUCUGAUUUAGUCUGCAGUGCUUGCCCUGUCUUUCCACUCCUCCUUCUGCUGUUCCCUUCUCUCUACUUAUCUUCUGCUAUUAACUUACAACUUUAAAAAAAAUAGGAAUUUGUGGCUAUACACAGUGGUGAGAUUCACUAUGGUGUAUUCAUAUAUGUACCUGGGAAAGUUAGGUCGGAUUCACCCCACUGUGUUUCCCUUAUCCCAUCCCUCCUCCCUCCCUCUCAAUCCCCUCCUCUACUCCCUCUACUCCCUCUACUCUUCUAUUUUGAUGGAUCCCCCUGCCCCACUUUUCUUUUCCUUUUUCUUCCCCUCAGUUUGGACUUGCUUUCACAUAUCAGAAAAAAAAUGGCCUCUGACUUUCUGGGUCUAGCUCAUUUCACUUAGCACAGUGGUCUCCAGUCCCAUCCACUUACUGGCAAAUGCCAUAAUUUCAUAUUCUUCAUGGCCGAAUGAUACUCCAUUGUGUGUUAUACCACUUUUUCUCUAACCAUUCAUCUGUUGAAGGGCACCUCGAUUGGUUCUAUAUCUUGGCUAUUGUGAAUUGUGCUGCUAGGAAUAUUGAUGUGUGUCGUGUAUUUUAAAAAAUAUUAAAAUCAAUUAAAUAAAAAGAACAACUAAUAAAUUCUGAAAAAGUAUUAUAAAAGGAAAAAAGUGAACAUUGAUGUGUCUGCAUCCCUGUAACAUGCCAAUUUUAGAUCUUUUGGAUAUAUACUGAGGAGUGAGAUAGCUGGGUCAUAUGGUGGUUCCAUUCCUAGUUGGGGUUUGUUUGUUUGUUUGUUCAGGAAGCACGGCUUUAUUCUGCAAUAUGGAGGAAACAUGCUUUGCCCACUUGCUCCAGACAUAAAUUGUUACCACUCAGGAACUGGCCAGCAAUGCCCUUUGUGGACUCCUUGCAGGGUUCUAAAGACAAACCAGAGCCCCAAAAUUCUUU
RNAcentral lists this long non-coding RNA (2331 nucleotides) under Marmota monax (woodchuck). The record is from RNAcentral. Lineage: Eukaryota; Metazoa; Chordata; Mammalia; Rodentia; Sciuridae.